AAUAUUGCACAAUGGAGGAAACUCAGAUGCAGCGACGCCGCGUGAACGAUGAAGGACUUCGGGUCGUAAAGUUCUGUCCUAGGGGACGAUAAUGACGGUACCCAAGGAGGAAGCCCCGGCUACCUACGUGCCAGCAGCCGCGGUAAUACGGAGGGGGCAAGCGUUGUCCGGAUUUAUUGGACGUAAAGGGUGCGUAGGCGGCCUUUUAAGUCAGAUGUGAAAGGUCACGGCUCAACCGUGGUCAGCAUUUGAAACUGAAAGGCUUGAGUUAAGGCGAGGAAAGUUGAAUUCCUAGUGUAGCGGUGAAAUGCGUAGAUAUUAGGAGGAAUACCAGUGGCGAAGGCGACUUUCUUGACUUAUACUGACGCUGAGGCACGAAAGCGUGGGGAGCGAACAGG
RNAcentral lists this ribosomal RNA (398 nucleotides) under uncultured bacterium. RNAcentral describes it as "partial 16S ribosomal RNA". It matches the Rfam family "Bacterial small subunit ribosomal RNA", at positions 360 to 776 of the family's 1533-position model. The record is from RNAcentral.